This is a long non-coding RNA of Medicago truncatula (barrel medic), 2749 nucleotides long. RefSeq lists it as uncharacterized. The record is from RefSeq and is a predicted model, not a curated record. Lineage: Eukaryota; Viridiplantae; Streptophyta; Magnoliopsida; Fabales; Fabaceae. The transcript has 3 exons.
AUAUUUCUCUCCCACAUUACACCUAUUUCAUCAUUCAUAGUACUUGGAGAGAUAUUUAAUCCAAAAACACUAUUUCAGUUUCUUCUUCAUCACAGGUACCGUUUGUAUUUUCUGUUUUCCUUUUGAUUUCGUGUUAAAGCUUUGGUUUUCGCUUUUUUUUUCUUUUUUGAUUGUGAUUGGAUUUCAAAGAAAAGAUUGUUUUGUUGCAUGUUUGUCGAAAGAUGUUUUCUUUGCAGAAAGAUACUUUUUUGACCUAAAGAUAUCAUCUUUCGUUGUUUGGUGUUGCAAUUCCGAUUUUGCAUUUUGGACUUUCUUUUCCUGACCUAAAGAAAUGCAUGCAUGUGAAUUUUGGUGAUUGAAUUUUGGAAGAUGCAAAAGCUUUAAAACGCCUGCUAUUUUUAAUCUCUGGUAUUAUAGUUGAUCCUGGGUUGGAUGAAUCAUAGGUUUUUUUCCACAUAUUCAUAAAUUUUUAGUUUUUUUUUUACUUUGCAGAUCCUGGGUUUUUCAUUUAUUUGAAUUUAUUGUUCAAUUUCACUUCAAAUAUAUUAUUCGAACCAAACGAAAUUAAGAAAUUGAUUUGGAGGUUUUUAAUUUACAAGUUGAAUUGCUUCUGAACUGAUUCUUAAACCACCAUUUAAAAAACUGCUUGGUUUUAUGGUAUUGAUUUAACCUGUUCAGAAUCUGAUUCUUUGGUUUCUGAACUAAAUUUAACCGGCAUUUUGGUUUCUACUUGAAGAAUUCACAACCUAAGGGUUUCAGAAAAUCUUCUUUGUUUUUAUUUCUUAUUUUCAUUUUUUAUUACAAAAAUGCCACGUUGAUUUCACUUGCCUUUAAUAACAACAUUUUUAAAUUGCGGUAUUUUGGUUUCUACUUCCUGUUUCAAUGUUUUAGCAAAUGAAUGUGAUAAACACAUGUUCAGUAAAGAACACCGAACCAAAUCAGAAUUGUUGAUAUACGGUCGGUUGUCAACAAGUUCAAGUCAGAACAUGUUGAAAUGGUGAUUAUGGAUGCUCGGGUUUGCAUCUAAAUAUCACUUUUUGGUUUUGACUUUACUCAUCUUAUAUGUCUAUGUUAAACUAUUUGUGAAUUAUGCAGAGUGAUACAAUUCACCUUAAGUUGCCUAAGGAAAUCAUCGCAGAGUUUAAGCCUGUUCUGAUGUAUAGCAAAACUUAUGAAAUGGAAAACUUCAAGGUCAAUAAUAAUGACAUUAUAGUAAAAGCAACAAAUCAUCAAUACUGACUUGUCACAGGGGGCUACGGUCAUCACUUCUGAAGAAUUUCCAAACAUUCCUAUGACAUCUCUCCAUUUCAAAAGUUUUGAAGAAAUACUUGGAGGAAAAUAUAGAACUGACUUGAUUGUUGGUUGGUUUCUUGGUGAAACUGAUCCCUUCUUUAAACUUGACCUUAAUUAUCUACUUUGCUCAUUUUUUUACCCUUUAUUUAAGAUGUCAUUGGAGCUUUUUAUGAUGUAACUUCUACAAAUAGAAGUGGAUUAAAGAUAUGAUCAAUCACUUUUCUUCUCAAAGAUAUCAAUGCCAACAUGUUUCAUAUUUGCAUUUGGGAUGACUAUGCAAAGCAAUUCUGUGAUGGGUUAGCUGCCUCAAAUGAUGCUCAAUAAGUUUACAUUGUUCUCAAAUAUGUCAGAGUCAAAUCACCAUAAGGUAUUUAUUUUACACAGUAUGCAGGUUUAUAAAUGCUUGGCAAACAGUUGCGUUGUUACUUCAAAGUCUGCCUCAAAUAAAAGCGCAGCGAACUACUAAAGCAAAAAACCCAGGGUGAUAACAAAGUAGUAACAACAGAUAAGUCAAAUGGAUACUACAGCCUUUUGAUGUAGAUGCAUAAUAAAGUAGUAACAACAGAUAAGUCAAAUGGAUAUGCAAGAGAAUGAAGAUGAUGAUGCAGACAUAGCUUCAGAUCAAUUGCAAGGAGACAAAUCAAAUUCCACAGUUGUUGCUCAUAUGUUAGCAUAAUGAGUCACAUUCAUAUUUAUCAGUGAAAACCAAAAAUUAGAAACACUUUAAAUAACUUUAAAUAGUGGAGGGAGCCGACCAUAAAAAAAUGUAAAACCAUGCAAAUUCAGAAUGGAUCACAAAGCCGCACACUUAUUUGCAAGAUUAGAUUGAGUUUCGAAUCUCUUGGUCAUUCUUAGACGGAUGAGUUUCAAACAAUCAACAACCAAAAGAAGAGACCUCAAAAUCCAACCCCUCGGUAAAAAUUAGAAUGUGCUCACACAAAAAUUCAUAACGGAAUGGAUAGAUGCUCUGGAACAGAAAACCAAAACUGCAACAUCAGUACAAUUUAAUCAUAUAGUGAUCAGUAACCUUCAUCCAAAAAUAGUAGAAAUUCAUUAUUAUUCAUUUUAUGGUUUUUUGGUUUUUCAGUUGGUCUAGGCUGGCAUCAUUGAAAGUGAGAUAUAUCCAAGGUGGUAGUAACUUGAUAUAUCAAUAAGACAGGCUCUGCCGUGCAUCUGUGUGGAAUUCCACUCACCAAAUCAUCUUGUAAUCCUUUCUGCUCAUUGUCAGCAAUAGCUUCAGUUAAGAUGGCUCUACUUCUAGUUUUGAAUUUCCAAAGUUUAGGGUUAGGCUACCACAGAUUUCAUCCCAGUUGGAUUGGAGUUGGCUUGGCACGGCUUGAACUAUUGUACUUGUUUUAAAUUACUUCAAAGCAGUCACCAAUUCAAGUUGUCAAUUACUUGCAGCAAAAUGGACUAUGGAUCAUAGUACUUUUUUCUCUAUCUGAAAAGUAAUAGA